UACGUAGGGCCCGAGCGUUGUCCGGAAUCAUUGGGCGUAACGAGCUUGUAGUCGGCUAUUUAAGUCCUGCGUGAAAUCCUGCGGCUCAACCGCAGACGGUCGUGGGAAACUGGAUGGCUAGAGUGCGGGAGAGGAGAGAGGAAUUCCCGGUGUAGCGGUGAAAUGCGCAGAUAUCGGGAAGAACACCCGUGGCGAAGGCGGCGACCUGGGUAGAUACUGACGCUGAGGUGCGAAAGCGUGGGGAGCAAACAGG
RNAcentral lists this ribosomal RNA (253 nucleotides) under uncultured bacterium. RNAcentral's name for it is "partial 16S ribosomal RNA". It matches the Rfam family "Bacterial small subunit ribosomal RNA", at positions 524 to 776 of the family's 1533-position model. The record is from RNAcentral.